CAGCCGCCACGGUAAUACGUAGGGUGCAAGUGUUAAUCGGAAUUACUGGGCGUAAAGCGCACGUAGGCGGCUUGGUAAGUUAGAGGUGAAAGCCCGGAGCUCAACUCCGGAAUUGCCUUUAAGACUGCCGAGCUAGUAGGUGAGAGAGGUAAGUGGAAUUCCGAGUGUAGAGGUGAAAUUCGUAGAUACUCGGAAGAACACCAGUGGCGAAGGCGGCUUACUGGCUCAUUCUAGACGCUGAGGUGCGAAAGCGUGGGGAGCAAACAGGAUUAGAUACCCGAGUAGUCCCUGUCUCUUAUAC
RNAcentral lists this ribosomal RNA (301 nucleotides) under uncultured bacterium. RNAcentral describes it as "partial 16S ribosomal RNA". It matches the Rfam family "Bacterial small subunit ribosomal RNA", at positions 509 to 807 of the family's 1533-position model. The record is from RNAcentral.